AUACGGAGGGUGCGAGCGUUAAUCGGAAUUACUGGGCGUAAAGCGUACGUAGGCGGUUAGUUAAGUUAGAUGUGAAAGCCCCGGGCUUAACCUGGGAACUGCAUUUAAAACUGGCUAACUAGAGUUAAGUAGAGGGGAGUGGAAUUUCAGGUGUAGCGGUGAAAUGCGUAGAGAUCUGAAGGAACACCAGUGGCGAAGGCGACUCCCUGGACUUGAACUGACGCUGAGGUACGAAAGCGUGGGUAGCAAACGGGAUUAGAAACCCUUGUAGUCC
This 274-nucleotide ribosomal RNA is filed under the name uncultured bacterium. RNAcentral's name for it is "partial 16S ribosomal RNA". It matches the Rfam family "Bacterial small subunit ribosomal RNA", at positions 523 to 796 of the family's 1533-position model. The record is from RNAcentral.